Molecule: long non-coding RNA, 559 nt
Organism: Rhipicephalus sanguineus (brown dog tick)
Lineage: Eukaryota; Metazoa; Arthropoda; Arachnida; Ixodida; Ixodidae
Exons: 2
Source: RefSeq, a predicted model, not a curated record
GGCGGACCUGCCGGCGUAGUUGGUCCAGGAGUGGUUGCUCCUGGUGGUGUGGUUGGACCAGGAGUAUUUGCGCCCGCAGUCGUUCCUCUAGGCCUCGGAGGACCUGGUUACGUUGGGGCUGGUCUCGGAGGCAGUUACGGUGCCGCGCACGGAGUUGUCGCCGGUGGCCAUCAGGCCGGAUUCCAGAAGGGAGCCGCUGGCCACGCCCAGGGAUCUGGAGGGUACGCUGGAGGUGCCGCCCACAGGAACGUGCAGGCUUACAACAACCAGCAAGGCUACAGCCACAACUCGGGCUUCUCUGCCAGCGACACUAAGGCUUUUGGUGCUGGGCACCAGCAGGGAUCUACGGGAUACGUCGGUGGUGCUGCUGGCCAACAGGCUGGAUAUGGCAAGAGCCUCCACGGAGCCGUCGGUGGCUUCGGUGGAGUUGGCUACGGCUUCCACGGCUAAAGAGACGACGUUCGGACCCUUCUCGAUCUUGGCACCACUUCUGUUUUCCCUCACCAACACCGAUGGGCAUUCAACCGUUUUGUUGUGCAAUAAAUGUUGCAACACAAAA